Molecule: ribosomal RNA, 475 nt
Filed under: uncultured bacterium
Lineage: Bacteria
Description: bacterial SSU rRNA
Rfam family: Bacterial small subunit ribosomal RNA
Source: RNAcentral
CUGGCUCAGGAUGAACGCUGGCGAGAUGCCUUAUACAUGCAAGUCGUACGAGAUUAAACUCAAGUGGCGGACGGGUGAGUAACACGUAAGAAUUUGCCUUUAGGAGGGGGACAACAACUGGAAACGGUUGCUAAUACCCCAUAUGCUUUCGAGUGAAAUGGAUUUUUUCGCCUAAAGAGAAGCUUGCGGCUGAUUAGCUUGUUGGUGAGGUAAGGGCUCACCAAGGCGACGAUCAGUAUCUGGUUUGAGAGGACGAUCAGACACACUGGAACUGAGACACGGUCCAGACUCCUACGGGAGGCAGCAGUAGGGAAUUUUCCGCAAUGGGCGAAAGCCUGACGGAGCAAUCUCGCGUGAGGGAUGACGGCCUAUGGGUUGUAAACCUCUUUUUUCAGGGAGGAAUAAUUGACGUGUACCUGAAGAAUAAGCAUCGGCUAACUNCGUGCCAGCAGCCGCGGUAAGACGGAGGAUGCAA